RNAcentral lists this long non-coding RNA (763 nucleotides) under Oreochromis niloticus (Nile tilapia). RNAcentral describes it as "lncRNA (ENSONIG00000039825.1)". Lineage: Eukaryota; Metazoa; Chordata; Actinopteri; Cichliformes; Cichlidae. The record is from RNAcentral.
AUGCUGCAGUGCACCCGUCACCCUUCAGACGUGCAGACAGACAGACAGACAGUCAGUCAGGUGCUGUCUCAGCAGGGAGGAGAUGAAAAGUGUUUUGGCAGGCGCCGCACCGGUCCAGAUUGUAACCCCUAUUUCUGCCUCCAAAAACCUGCCUUGGAGGAGCGUCCACGGAGGGAUUAGGGAUUUAGUGGGGAAGGUAAGUGUGACUACAAGCUUUGGCUCGCCAUCUGCUCCCCAGCAGAGUUGAGGCCAACCUGUGCAGCCUGCAGCAAAGACCUGGGCACUGUGCUAACUCUGGCUCGAGCCAACCUGGCGCCCGCGGCCCCAAUCACCAACAGUCUGCUGAUUAGUUGUAAGAAGCACUCCAUAUGUAGCAAAGUUUUUUUUCCUCCUCUCUCUCUGUCUGUCUGUCUCCUUCCCUUCCUUCCUCUCUUCCUUCUGUAUCCUCUCGCCGCAUUAAAUAAAUAUGGAUGCAUGGAUUUUUUUUUUUUUAAUCGCCUUCGGUGGUCUGUUUUUCUUCUCGCUCACCUCUGACAGAAUACCAAGCCAGGGGAAGGAAAGGAAAAGAAGAUGAAGAGGGUGAAGUAGAAGGAGAAGAAAAAGAAGAAGAAGAAAUCCUGGCUGUCCUCCUCUCCCUUCUUCUCCUUCCCCUCCCUUGCUCUCUUUUGCCUGGCAGCGCCGGGAGACAGAUGACAGGGGUUUGUGGCCGUCUGAUCACCCCUGGGUGGGUAUUUUCUAAUUUAUUUAACGGCAGCUUAUUAAA